RNAcentral lists this transfer RNA (62 nucleotides) under Tenebrionoidea sp. 19 KM-2017. RNAcentral's name for it is "tRNA-Ser". Lineage: Eukaryota; Metazoa; Arthropoda; Insecta; Coleoptera. The record is from RNAcentral.
GAAAUAUUUAAAAAUUAAGCUUCUAACUUAAUGAAAAGCGAAUAAUAACCGUUUAUGUUUCU